AGUCUUAUAGUUUAAUAAAAAUAUUAAAUUGCAAAUUUAAUGAUGAAAAUUUUCUAAGGCUU
This 62-nucleotide transfer RNA is filed under the name Staphylinidae sp. BMNH 1274234. RNAcentral describes it as "tRNA-Cys". It matches the Rfam family "tRNA". Rfam says of the family: Transfer RNA (tRNA) molecules are approximately 80 nucleotides in length. Their secondary structure includes four short double-helical elements and three loops (D, anti-codon, and T loops). The record is from RNAcentral. Lineage: Eukaryota; Metazoa; Arthropoda; Insecta; Coleoptera; Staphylinidae.